This is a transfer RNA of Phytophthora infestans T30-4, 73 nucleotides long. It matches the Rfam family "tRNA". Rfam says of the family: Transfer RNA (tRNA) molecules are approximately 80 nucleotides in length. The record is from Rfam. Lineage: Eukaryota; Oomycota; Peronosporomycetes; Peronosporales; Peronosporaceae.
UGGCGCAUAGCGCAGUGGUAGCGCGUCCCGCUUUGCAAGCGGAAGGCCCCGGGUUCAAUCCCCGGUGUGUCCA